RNAcentral lists this ribosomal RNA (449 nucleotides) under uncultured bacterium. Its description in RNAcentral is "partial 16S ribosomal RNA". It matches the Rfam family "Bacterial small subunit ribosomal RNA", at positions 328 to 794 of the family's 1533-position model. The record is from RNAcentral.
GGUCCAGACUCCUACGGGAGGCAGCAGUGGGGAAUAUUGCACAAUGGGGGAAACCCUGAUGCAGCGACGCCGCGUGAGCGAUGAAGUAUUUCGGUAUGUAAAGCUCUAUCAGCAGGGAAGAAAAUGACGGUACCUGACUAAGAAGCCCCGGCUAACUACGUGCCAGCAGCCGCGGUAAUACGUAGGGGGCAAGCGUUAUCCGGAUUUACUGGGUGUAAAGGGAGCGUAGACGGCGGUGCAAGCCAGAUGUGAAAGCCCGGGGCUCAACCCCGGGACUGCUCUUGGAACUGCGCGGCUGGAGUGCAGGAGGGGCAGGCGGAAUUCCUGGUGUAGCGGUGAAAUGCGUAGAUAUCAGGAGGAACACCGGUGGCGAAGGCGGCCUGCUGGACUGCGACUGACGUUGAGGCCCGAAAGCGUGGGGAGCAAACAGGAUUAGAUACCCCAGUAAU